RNAcentral lists this ribosomal RNA (460 nucleotides) under uncultured bacterium. RNAcentral describes it as "partial 16S ribosomal RNA". It matches the Rfam family "Bacterial small subunit ribosomal RNA", at positions 338 to 795 of the family's 1533-position model. The record is from RNAcentral.
CCUACUGGAGACAUCAUUGAGGCAUAUUGGUCAAUGGGCGAGAGCCUGAACCAUCCACGUCGCGCGAAGUCUUCCUUCCCUCCUUUUUUUCCCCUUCUUUUUUCCUUUCUCCCUUGGGUCCACGCGUGGGCUUAGCGAGAGUACCUGAAGAAAAAGCAUCGGCUAACUCCGUGCCAGCAGCCGCGGUAAUACUGAGGAUGCGAGCGUUAUCCGGAUUUAUUGGGUUUAAAGGGUGCGUAGGCGGAAUAUCAAGUCAGCGGUAAAAAUUCGGGGCUCAACCCCGUCGUGCCGUUGAAACUGAUGUUCUUGAGUGGGCGAGAAGUAUGCGGAAUGCGUGGUGUAGCGGUGAAAUGCAUAGAUAUCACGCAGAACUCCGAUUGCGAAGGCAGCAUACCGGCGCCCAACUGACGCUGAAGCACGAAAGCGUGGGUAUCGAACAGGAUUAGAGAAAAGGGUAGUC